CUCUAGUAGCUUAAUCAUAAAGCACCGGUCUUGUAAUCCGGAGAUUGAGGACUAAGUCCCCUCCUAGUGCCAGAAAAAAGAGAUUUUAACUCCCACCCC
This 99-nucleotide transfer RNA is filed under the name Ameiurus nebulosus (brown bullhead). RNAcentral's name for it is "partial tRNA-Pro". The stretch from base 1 to 71 matches the Rfam family "tRNA". Rfam says of the family: Transfer RNA (tRNA) molecules are approximately 80 nucleotides in length. Their secondary structure includes four short double-helical elements and three loops (D, anti-codon, and T loops). The record is from RNAcentral. Lineage: Eukaryota; Metazoa; Chordata; Actinopteri; Siluriformes; Ictaluridae.